CAAGAAAAAUAUAUUCAAUACCUAUGUCGUUGUAUAUUACAUACAUACAUGCAUAUUAAAAAAAAACUGCUAGGAAUAUAAAAAAAAAAAAAAAAAACGUAAACACGGUCCGAAAAUAUUUUACGAACGUAAACAUCAACAUUGGUUUUUCAAUACGCUCUCACGGAUAUAAAUAUAUAAUACGAAUUUAUCGGGAUGAUGCACUGCGUGUGUACCGGAAUAGUUUUCCGGUUUAUAUUUGUUUUUAUUUUACUACAAAGCUUAUCUCGUAUUUUAUAUAUAACAGUAGGUAUUGUAUAGAUGAGUAGUUUUCCGAGGAGUUUUGACGUCCGUUGUUAGAUGGUCCGUGAUGAUGGCCGAAAGACGAAUGGUCUUAAAAAAAAAUCGUUUUUCCGUGACUAUAUAUAUACGCAAUAUCAAAUUAUCGGUUUCGAUUUGAUUUUUAAACUUUAAAACGCAUCAA
Cinara cedri is the source of this 463-nucleotide non-coding RNA. The record is from the annotation of a GenBank genome assembly. NCBI's taxonomy places the organism in Eukaryota, Metazoa, Arthropoda, Insecta, Hemiptera, Aphididae.